GACGAACGCUGGCGGCGUGCCUAAUACAUGCAAGUAGAACGCACAGUUUAUACCGUAGCUUGCUACACCAUAGACUGUGAGUUGCGAACGGGUGAGUAACGCGUAGGUAACCUGCCUGGUAGCGGGGGAUAACUAUUGGAAACGAUAGCUAAUACCGCAUAAUAUUGAUUAUUGCAUGAUAAUUAAUUGAAAGGUGCAAUUGCACCACUACCAGAUGGACCUGCGUUGUAUUAGCUAGUAGGUGAGGUAACGGCUCACCUAGGCGACGAUACAUAGCCGACCUGAGAGGGUGAUCGGCCACACUGGGACUGAGACACGGCCCGGACUCCUACGGGAGGCAGCAGUAGGGAAUCUUCGGCAAUGGACGAAAGUCUGACCGAGCAACGCCGCGUGAGUGAAGAAGGUUUUCGGAUCGUAAAGCUCUGUUGUAAGAGAAGAACGGGUGUGAGAGUGGAAAGUUCACACUGUGACGGUAGCUUACCAGAAAGGGACGGCUAACUACGUG
RNAcentral lists this ribosomal RNA (505 nucleotides) under uncultured bacterium. Its description in RNAcentral is "partial 16S ribosomal RNA". It matches the Rfam family "Bacterial small subunit ribosomal RNA", at positions 28 to 507 of the family's 1533-position model. The record is from RNAcentral.